This 368-nucleotide ribosomal RNA is filed under the name Moraxellaceae bacterium enrichment culture clone MS_ACE_O9. Its description in RNAcentral is "bacterial SSU rRNA". It matches the Rfam family "Bacterial small subunit ribosomal RNA", at positions 50 to 420 of the family's 1533-position model. The record is from RNAcentral. Lineage: Bacteria; Pseudomonadati; Pseudomonadota; Gammaproteobacteria; Moraxellales; Moraxellaceae.
UACACAUGCAAGUCGAGCGGGGAAAAGUAGCUUGCUACUUUACCUAGCGGCGGACGGGUGAGUAAUGCUUAGGAAUCUGCCUAUUAGUGGGGGACAACAUCUCGAAAGGGAUGCUAAUACCGCAUACGUCCUACGGGAGAAAGCAGGGGACCUUCGGGCCUUGCGCUAAUAGAUGAGCCUAAGUCGGAUUAGCUAGUUGGUGGGGUAAAGGCCUACCAAGGCGACGAUCUGUAGCGGGUCUGAGAGGAUGAUCCGCCACACUGGGACUGAGACACGGCCCAGACUCCUACGGGAGGCAGCAGUGGGGAAUAUUGGACAAUGGGGGGAACCCUGAUCCAGCCAUGCCGCGUGUGUGAAGAAGGCCUUUU